RNAcentral lists this small RNA (558 nucleotides) under Pan troglodytes (chimpanzee). RNAcentral's name for it is "processed transcript". Lineage: Eukaryota; Metazoa; Chordata; Mammalia; Primates; Hominidae. The record is from RNAcentral.
UUUUUUCUCUCCUCACUUUUGAACUAGAUUUGGGCAAUGGAGGUGAUGACAGCAUUUUAGAAGACAGAACAGGAAUUCUAGGUGUUUAGGCACGUUGAAGAGAAACUUGCUAGAGGUGAUGAAGUGGAAAGAAAAAGACGAUUCACUAUAGGGAUGAACAUUAUUGCAGUUCUGCAAAGGAUAUUUUCUUUUAAAACAUCCAUAUCUCUUCUUUGCCGUGGAAACUAGACCCAAUCUACCUGAACCUGCGGCACCCCUCUGAUGACCCAUUUGGAUUCUCUGAUUUCACUGCCAAAAUUCUCAAUGGAGUUUCACUCUGUCGCCCAGGCUGGAGUGCAGUGGCACGAUCUCGGCUCACUGCAAGCUCCGCCUCCCGGGUUCACGCCAUUCUUCUGCCUCAGCCUCCUGAGUAGCUGGGACUACAGGUUCUCCAAAAUACUUAUCAUUCAGGUUGAAUAAACCAGUUCUACGGACUGCUUCUUCCGUGCAUUUCCCAAUGAUGCUAACUGCCCUUAAAAUUCUUUCAGAUUUGGAACUCUAUCUGUAUGGAAACAACAG